Daphnia pulex (common water flea) is the source of this 614-nucleotide long non-coding RNA. RefSeq lists it as uncharacterized. Lineage: Eukaryota; Metazoa; Arthropoda; Branchiopoda; Diplostraca; Daphniidae. The record is from RefSeq and is a predicted model, not a curated record. The transcript is spliced from 4 exons.
ACCAAGUUUAAGUUUAAGUUUUAGAAAAGUUAAGAAAACGGUUAGGUUAAAGGAAACGGAACAAUAGUUUUUUUGGAAACGUACGUGGCUGCACGAAAAAUAGCAGAACAAACAAAAUUCCGAAAUAUGUUCGUCGUGUGAACUCGUGGCAUAUCCAUUCUCUCCAUUCCAUGGUGUUUGGCAGAUUUGGGGACUGAGUCAGCCAUCGUAACCACAAGAUAUGCAAGUUUUGCUUGUACUGGUAUUGGCCACAGCAACAAUCUCAAUCUCAUCAUCAUUGCUUGGAUAAACAGCAUCCCGUUUGAAUGGAGAAACUACCCAUGUCGGUCCAGUUCUUACCCUGUCUGCAUAAAUGUUCUCGUGUAUGCCCAUGUGUGUGUGGGUGUAUUCACGAGGACUCCCUAUCCCGACUGUGAUGGAUUCCACUCCUCAUCAAAUGGAGCACUUGUGGAUGGAUGUCUGGCCGUAUUUCCCAGGCAUAAAGUACCACCCGUACAUGGAGGGGAAGGUGGCGUGAUAAGGGGCGGCCCGGACGCCGUGGUGGAUGUGUCCGGCGACGGCGGCGUGAGCGGCGUGAGCGGCGGAAGAGCAAUUGAUUCCGUCGAACGAGUAAU